UACGUAGGGUGCAAGCGUUGUCCGGAAUUAUUGGGCGUAAAGAGCUCGUAGGCGGUUUGUCGCGUCGAAUGUGAAAACCCGGGGCUCAACUCCGGGCCUGCAUUCGAUACGGGCAGACUAGAGUUCGGUAGGGGAGACUGGAAUUCCUGGUGUAGCGGUGAAAUGCGCAGAUAUCAGGAGGAACACCGGCGGCGAAGGCGGCCCGCUGGGCAGGAAGGCUCGCAAGAGCCGGCUGACGCUGAGGCGCGACAGCGUGGGGAGCAAACAGG
This 269-nucleotide ribosomal RNA is filed under the name uncultured bacterium. RNAcentral's name for it is "partial 16S ribosomal RNA". It matches the Rfam family "Bacterial small subunit ribosomal RNA", at positions 524 to 776 of the family's 1533-position model. The record is from RNAcentral.